Molecule: ribosomal RNA, 25 nt
Filed under: Vahlkampfia sp. 1 AM-2013
Lineage: Eukaryota; Heterolobosea; Eutetramitea; Acrasida; Vahlkampfiidae
Description: partial small subunit ribosomal RNA
Source: RNAcentral
AGUAGUUAGUGUCUUCUGUGUAGGA